UCCUGAACUCCGAACUCCAAUCCAGGAAGAAUAACCGCUUAACCUAAACAUAACCAUAAACCGAAGAA
RNAcentral lists this ribosomal RNA (68 nucleotides) under Trametes sanguinea. Its description in RNAcentral is "partial 28S ribosomal RNA". Lineage: Eukaryota; Fungi; Basidiomycota; Agaricomycetes; Polyporales; Polyporaceae. The record is from RNAcentral.